Molecule: long non-coding RNA, 1904 nt
Organism: Myxocyprinus asiaticus (Chinese sucker)
Lineage: Eukaryota; Metazoa; Chordata; Actinopteri; Cypriniformes; Catostomidae
Exons: 6
Source: RefSeq, a predicted model, not a curated record
GUAUUUGUGUGCUCUUACCAUGAGGGCAUAAGUGAGUCCCAGCCCCACCAGCCCAGUGGACAGAUGACUGAACAGCGAGUUGGUGAUGGAGGCCACAGCUGCUAUCAGGACUAUACAGGCCCCAAUGUACUCCUGUAGAGAUGGUGGUGCAGAUCUUUGGCCACCCCCAGGCCUGUCCACUCCACAGCCACUGAUGUGACCAGACACAGGACGAUCCCCAGACAGCACAGAACGCUGAACACCAGCAGGGAGCAGUUGUGUGCGACUGCCUCAUUCUUGGCCGUGAUGACUUUGGACGUCCAGUGUGCGAGCCAGUAGUCGAUGGCCACCAUGAGGGAGUGUUUGAGGAGCUGGGACAGCAGGAGCAGGAGGAGCAGCAGGAGGCCAGCAGAGCUCAGAAGAAAAAAAUCAUUCACAUCUGGGAUGGCAUGAGGCAAUCAACACUCUGGCUCUAAACAUACCCAUCUGCUCAUGGAUCCUGGACUUCCUGACAGGUGGUGAGGGUGGGCAGCCAAACAUCUUGACAUAGAUACCUCACACCAACAGCUUGGUCAGUUUUCAAGGCCUCUCUGGAGUACAUGGCUCGCCUCAAGUUUUUUCUUUCCAGCACUGUCAUAUUAUCAUCUACUGUCUCCUGAAACACAACGUGAUGGAGUACUGAAUAUGGGUCAUUGACAAAUAAGGUUGUCCGAGAUGAUCAAAAUUAGAAAUAUUUGAAAAAGAAUAGCCAAGUUUGUAUAAAUGCACGGAGCCCCUCGCAAUAAAUUUGUGUGCCCUCGCAAUAAAUUUACCAUGGUUUUCCUAUAGAAACCAUAUUUUAACCUUGAUAUAUACAGUAAAACCAUAGUAAAUACAGAAAAACCACAUGAAUUACCUUGAUUAAUCUAGAGUAAAACCAUGGUUACUAUAUGAAUAAAGUAUACUGUGUUAAUAUAAUGGUUUCCGGCAAAAAACUUGGUUACUACGGUCUACAAUAUUACUAUAGUAAAACCAGUUAAACUAUGACAUUUGUAUAGUAAAACCAUAAUAACCACAAAAUUAUGAUUUUAUUUACCAUCGUUUCUGUAGUAAAACCAUGGUAAUUUUUUGGCGAGGGAACGUAAAACUUAUUGUAGGGGAAUGCAAGCUAUUGCGAAGGCAUGCAAAACAAUGUCCUUGUCCUCUAAGGGGCUCUGUAUUAAUGUAAUCCUUGUCUUCAUAUUGAUUUUCUACAUUUUUGAAAAACAUUUAUAGCAUUUUCAAAAAAAAAAAAAAAAAUACAUUUAAUGACUUGUCAAGUGGUGUUAACUUAAUUACACUUAACACUUCAAUUUAAUUUAUUAAAUAAAAUUAUUGUAAGGUAGUGUAACCAUCAAGCUUUAUUUACUCCUUGGAUACACUUGAGUGUACUCAACUAAAUAAUUAUUUUUAAAGAUAAAUAAAAUAAAAUUUUUCUUUUCUUUUUUAUGUUGUUUUUUUUCACAAAUAGCAUAAAUUUUUGAGUCAUAUCAAGGAUUCAAGAGUCAUUCCUGAGGUAGCACAUUUGACAUGAACAAAAUGUGCUUCUUUUAAUGGUCACAUGACAACAAAAUGGCAACCUGAACUUUGAUUUUGUGGACAGAAGUAUAAUAAUAAUAUUUUAAACAAUAAUAUAUAUAUAUAUAUAAUUUUUAAUAUACAAAAAUGCUUCCCUGCUUAUUUCAAUAAUAAUAAUAAUCUAGCAUUUAAAAGCACACUGAACAAAAUAAAUGGGUCAUCUCAGCUCAAUGCAAGAACAUCUCUUGCAACUUUCUGAAGAUCUAAGCCUAUAAUGAAGGAUUCAUCUGAGAGCAUCAGAUGUCAGGGUACUUGUACAAGUAGGCCAGUGCCUUUGAGUUUACUUUGGUUCACUGAAAGCCAGUGUAAAGACCUGAUUGUUAGUUUUG